UAUAUAUAUAUAUCGGCGCAAGCAGCUUCAACGACGGAUGCAACAUGAAAAUAACUGGCGUCAAUUAUUAUAACACCUUAUUGGUCGUCGUUACUAUUGUUAAAAGUAAAACGAAAUCAAAGAGAAUAGAACUAUGUUUGAAUUCUGGUUUAAAUAUGACGUCUGGACGCACGACAGGGGACUGCAGAGUUCAGCGAGUGCGGAGCAUAAAGAACCUUCGAGAAAUACAAGAACAUUUAGAAGAAUUGAAGUUUCAUUUUAAAAUAUCUGGAACUUACUGAAACAAGUGACAUUAGAGACGUCAGCGAGGCUGGCGUCCUGUCUUUAAAACAAUGAAUUUAUAAUAAAAUCCGAUAUCAGAAGUGGGAUCGCUCCUGUGAUCAGUUACUGCCGGUCUUAGUGUAUUUGUAAAUCCUGAUCCAGCUCAAGAAAAUAAUCAUCCGGAGAACAUGCGUAAUGAAGAACGCUCCUCAGUCUUUCAUGCAAAUGAUGUCAACAAUGCAGAGCGUGACCGAACGUUUGCUACUAAAAAAAAAACAAGGGAUACGAUUAAAAUUACUAACAAGAUCAUUUUAAUUUUAUCAUCUUUUGAUCCCGGUGAUAGAGUGUGUGUUCGGGAUUGAUUCAAACGCAUCUUUACGGCUGUAAAUACGUACCAAAUCAGUAACUACGACAUUAGAAUUAAAGUCUUUUAAAGGAGCGAGCUAGAAAGUGUGCAGACGAUUGGUUAGUUGCAACAUCUACACAAAAGGCAUUACGUGAGACCAUAGCUAACAUUUGUUAUUAUCCUUUGAGCUAACCUCGUGUCCAUGAUGUAUUCUGAAGAGAACCAUGAGAUUCUGUAGGGAAGGCUUGUGGUACCGUGACAAGACAAUUAUACACCACAGAUCUGGAGAGCGUGACCUCUGAGCUAAUCGCGUGUUACCCUUGAGCUAACCACGGGUCCUUGAUGUAUCCAUAAGAGAACCAUGAGAUUCCGUAGGGAUGCCUUGUGGAACCGUGAGAAGACAAGUCUACACCACAGAUGUGGAGAGCGUACCUCUGAACUAAUCGCGUGUUACUCUUGAGCCAACCACAGGUCCUUGCUGUAUCCUUAAGAAUACCAUGAGAUGACGUAGGGAGGCCUUGGGAAGACUUGAGUAGAAAGGUACUCACUCGAUUUAUAAGAACUUGCAUGAUUUUAAUAUCAAACUACUAAGACCAUUACUUUAUUUAAAUACGAUAAUAGACAUACUCUUCACAGUAAUAUUUGCAACAUGUCUGGUUAACACACGCCAGUGCCUCUACAAAAACGAUGCUGUAAUUCAAACGAAAGCAUACUCGACUCCAAAAUCCUGAUCAAAUACAUCUAUUGCGAAUAUAACUAAUUUCUGUUCCUUUUCUGCUAACCGUGAUCAUGCGUUUGAAUCGUGUUUCCGACGGGAAUAAGGAGAUCACGCCGAAUUUUAAUUUAAUACCAACUGGUAAAUGUACUCUUAAAUAAAAUGCAAGAUCGCAGUGGUGCGUUAUACAAGAAUCAAUUGCAAAUGAUAUCUCUGGGUGUAGAAAACAAAUCAUAAACUAUUUGCGUGGAUUGAGAUCGGACCUUACUAUUUCAAUGAAUAGUUAAAUAGUUAUUAAUGUAGAAAUAAUUUUCUAUAGUUCCAGGUUUUGAAACGACUACUGAUAUAUUAACCGGAGCAGAUUUAUUACGUGAUAAAAAUACAUGUGGAAAAUUUAGUAUCCUUGCCGAUGUUUUGCACAUACGAACAAGUCAAUUAUGCUUUGACAGUUUAGAUUACAAUUCAACAAUCAGUCCGUUUAAAUCGAAGUAAUGCACCAACACAUUCAAAACAGGAUGGUCGAGGCGGAGAGAAGAUACAAAGCUAGGUUUUUGAGAGGUCGAGCUACGAUUAAAAGAUUCCAGAAGGGAGAUAUUGUAAUAAUAAAAAUAUAACCCCAGAAAUCGGAUAUCCCUAUAUUUAAAAUUUUGUGAACUAUACAAAAUCCAGAAAAUAAUUGAGAAUGAUUAAUAUCUUGUAAAGUGAUUUUAGACCGUGGAUGACCAGCUACGAAUGUGGCACAUGACCAGCUACGAUGAGACUUCACAGCAUCUGAGGGACGACACAGAAUUACUAAGCAAGCAGUUAGGUGGACGGUUCGCCUACCUAAUAGUUAUCCGAAAACAAUGCAGAGCACGCAUCAGUAUAACCGUAUCGGCAUGACUUCGGACGAUGAAGCAUCAAUUCUUGAACCUGGCCCAUCUACUCUACGAGACCUGCAACGGAUACGAGAAAAUAACGAAAGCUAAGCAAGAGAGAACACAUCACCAGGCAGGUGCAGAGCACGCACCGCCUGCCAGAAUGGCCGUAUCGGCGCAAGCAGCUUCAACGACGGAUGCAACAUGAAAAUAACUGGCAUCAAUUAUUAUAACACCUUAUUGGUCGUCGUUACUAUUGUUAAAAGUAAAACGAAAUCAAAGAGAAUAGAACUAUGUUUGAAUUCUGGUUUAAAUAUGACGUCUGGACGCACAACAGGGGACUGCAGAGUUCAGCGAGUGCGGAGCAUAAAGAACCUUCGAGAAAUACAAGAACAUUUAGAAGAAUUGAAGUUUCAUUUUAAAAUAUCUGGAACUUACUGAAACAAGUGACAUUAGAGACGUCAGCGAGGCUGGCGUCCUGUCUUUAAAACAAUGAAUUUGUAAUAAAAUCCGAUAUAUAUAUU
Molecule: long non-coding RNA, 2703 nt
Organism: Danaus plexippus (monarch butterfly)
Lineage: Eukaryota; Metazoa; Arthropoda; Insecta; Lepidoptera; Nymphalidae
Exons: 2
Source: RefSeq, a predicted model, not a curated record